AAAAGGUUUCCCUUUGGUAUUUUCGAACUGAAUUUUUGAAUUUCUAUCAAAUAAACUUUGUCCAAAAAGAUAGAUCAUCAAUCGAUCAUUUGACAAAUCAAAAUCCAAAACCGAAGUCGAAGCCGAGGCGAGCGAGCGAUGAUGAAUAAACUUUGUCCAAAAAGAUAGAUCUCAUCGAUCAUUUGACAAAUUCGAAGCCGAAGCCAAAGCCGAAGCCGAGCGACGACGGCGCGAGGCAUCUCUUAUUUCUUGCCUCACUUACCAUGUGAAGUAAGUGUUCCUUAUUUUAAACACUCAUUAGUUCUCUUCUUCCAUCAAUGUGGGAGAAAGAGUGAACUUUCCAAUUUGGGAGUACACUUUCUAAAUUAGUGUCUCGCUUCUCUCCACUAUUUUUCCUCCAUUUUUCAUUCACACUUUUUCAUAUACUUUGAACCCAACACCAGGUAUGUAUAUGAUAAGGAAUAGAGGGAAGUAAGACCAUACUGGAGCAAUUGGCAGAUCUUCAUUAGGUUUAAAGUCAGGUGUCCAUUUCUGUAACCACAUCUGCAUUCCUUCAAUUUUUUUGACUCUACUUGAACCAGACAGUAUUGAAAUCAUCUUCAUUGGUGAAAUCUAGAAACACAUUGUAAUUAUCGAACACUCCAAUUUUUGUUGAUCCUUUCACGGGGUAGAGCUCCUUGAAUCUGAAUCUAAUUUUCUCAAUUUGGGGUCUUGGCUUUAGGAAUUUUUCGACAAUAGUGAGCCUACAUUCAUCGUCCAUAACUCUGCAGUAAUCCUUUGCCUUGAAGAUUACGGCCGGCAUCCCGUUGUGGGUGGAUUGCCUUGCCAAGACUGAUUCUCUGAGUUGUCGAGUUCCAUUGAUUUGGGCUUUUGAUGAAGUAGCAACUGUUUUAACAUAUGAGGGUAAAUUUGGAUUAUUGGGAGUUGUGGAAUUGAUAGGGGGGAAAUGUUCCUGGUCGUGAAUGG
Molecule: long non-coding RNA, 966 nt
Filed under: Capsicum annuum
Lineage: Eukaryota; Viridiplantae; Streptophyta; Magnoliopsida; Solanales; Solanaceae
Description: long non-coding RNA (CANN_LNC016883)
Source: RNAcentral